UCCUGACUGACCGAUAGUGAACCAGUACCGUGAGGGAAAGGCGAAAAGAACCCCGGCGAGGGGAGUGAAAAAGAACCUGAAACCGUGUACGUACAAGCAGUGGGAGCACGCUUAGGCGUGUGACUGCGUACCUUUUGUAUAAUGGGUCAGCGACUUAUAUUCUGUAGCAAGGUUAACCGAAUAGGGGAGCCGAAGGGAAACCGAGUCUUAACUGGGCGUUAAGUUGCAGGGUAUAGACCCGAAACCCGGUGAUCUAGCCAUGGGCAGGUUGAAGGUUGGGUAACACUAACUGGAGGACCGAACCGACUAAUGUUGAAAAAUUAGCGGAUGACUUGUGGCUGGGGGUGAAAGGCCAAUCAAACCGGGAGAUAGCUGGUUCUCCCCGAAAGCUAUUUAGGUAGCGCCUCGUGAAUUCAUCUCCGGGGGUAGAGCACUGUUUCGGCAAGGGGGUCAUCCCGACUUACCAACCCGAUGCAAACUGCGAAUACCGGAGAAUGUUAUCACGGGAGACACACGGCGGGUGCUAACGUCCGUCGUGAAGAGGGAAACAACCCAGACCGCCAGCUAAGGUCCCAAAGUCAUGGUUAAGUGGGAAACGAUGUGGGAAGGCCCAGACAGCCAGGAUGUUGGCUUAGAAGCAGCCAUCAUUUAAAGAAAGCGUAAUAGCUCACUGGUCGAGUCGGCCUGCGCGGAAGAUGUAACGGGGCUAAACCAUGC
RNAcentral lists this ribosomal RNA (717 nucleotides) under Shigella sonnei. RNAcentral's name for it is "partial 23S ribosomal RNA". It matches the Rfam family "Bacterial large subunit ribosomal RNA", at positions 474 to 1192 of the family's 2925-position model. The record is from RNAcentral. Lineage: Bacteria; Pseudomonadati; Pseudomonadota; Gammaproteobacteria; Enterobacterales; Enterobacteriaceae.